CUCAGUUCGGAUUGGGGUCUGCAACUCGACCCCAUGAAGUCGGAAUCGCUAGUAAUCGCGUAACAGCAUGACGCGGUGAAUACGUUCCCGGGCCUUGUACACACCGCCCGUCACACCAUGGGAGUUGGGUCUACCCGAAGGUGGUGCGCUAACCGCAAGGAGGCAGCCAACCACGGUAGGCUCAGCGACUGGGGUGAAGUCGUAACAAGGUAGCCGUAGGGGAACCUGCGGCUGGAUCACCUCCUUU
This 247-nucleotide ribosomal RNA is filed under the name Saprospiraceae bacterium. RNAcentral's name for it is "partial 16S ribosomal RNA". It matches the Rfam family "Bacterial small subunit ribosomal RNA", at positions 1287 to 1533 of the family's 1533-position model. The record is from RNAcentral. Lineage: Bacteria; Pseudomonadati; Bacteroidota; Saprospiria; Saprospirales; Saprospiraceae.